RNAcentral lists this ribosomal RNA (492 nucleotides) under uncultured bacterium. RNAcentral describes it as "partial 16S ribosomal RNA". It matches the Rfam family "Bacterial small subunit ribosomal RNA", at positions 29 to 507 of the family's 1533-position model. The record is from RNAcentral.
AGUGAACGCUGGCGGCAUGCCUAACACAUGCAAGUCGAACGGCAGCACAGUGACAGCUUGCUCUUACGGGUGUCGCGUGGCGGACGGUUGCGUAAUACAUCGGAAUCUACUUUUUCAGGGGGGCUAACAUCGGGAAACUUACGCUAAUACCGCAUACAACGUCCGUGUGAAAGCACGGGAUGUACUGACCUGUCGCUAGUGAAUGAGCCGACCUUGGCGUAGCUCGUUGGCGGGGUAGAGGCGCAACAAGGCGACGAUCCGUAGCUGGCCCGAGAGGGACAUCCCACACCCUGGCACUGAGACACGGCCCAGACUCCUACGGGAGGCAGCAGUGCGGAAUAUUAGACAAUGGGCGCAAGCCUGAUCUAGCCAUACCGCGUGGGUGAAGAAGGCCUUCGGGUGGUAGAGCCCUUUUGUUGGUAAAGAAAAGAAGCAGGUUAAUCCCCCGCUGUUAUGACGGUACCCAAAGAAUAAGCACCGGCUAACUCCGUG